Molecule: ribosomal RNA, 468 nt
Filed under: uncultured bacterium
Lineage: Bacteria
Description: partial 16S ribosomal RNA
Rfam family: Bacterial small subunit ribosomal RNA
Source: RNAcentral
GACGAACGCUGGCGGCGUGCUUAACACAUGCAAGUCGAACGGAAAGGCCCUCUUUCUGUGGUGUGCUCGAGUGGCUAAAGUGUGAGUAACACGUGAUUCACCUGCCUUUUACUUUGGCAUCACGUCAGUAAACUUGGGCUAAUACCUCUUAUUCGCUCCUGCUCCAUGGUGGGGGUUGGAAGGUUUCGGCGGUUGGGGAUGGACUCGCGGCUUAUCAGCCUGUUGGUGGGCUAGUGGCUUACCAAGGCGUAGACGGGUAGCCGGCCUGAGAGGGUGGCCGGAGACAUUGGGAAGGAGAUAAGGCCCAGACGCAGACGGGAGGCAGAAGUGGGGAAUAGUGCACAAUGGGCGGAAGCCUGAGGCAGCAACGCCGCGUGCGGGAUGACGGCCUUCGGGUGGUAGACAGGAAGCGACUGUGACGGAGCGGGAGUGACGGUAAUGGGAAAAGAAGCACCGGCUAACUACGUG